AAACUUUGAAGGAACAGUGCUGCACGGCUAAACUAGGCAAUUACAAAUAUACCAGACACAGGGCUGAGACCCACCUCACUUCUGUUCUGCUGGAGUUCCAGCACACAGAAUCACUCCAGCCUUCCCUCAAGGAGGGACAACACAAUAGGAUCAGCCUCUUCUGCGCUGCUCUGAAAUCACCUUCCAGAAAAUGGACAAAGUAGAUAAUAAAUCACUCUUCUUCUGCCAGGGAAAGGAAAGGAGUAGAAAUGGAAAAACAUCAGUGAGAAAAACCAAACAGAGCCCAAAAUUCGGAGCUGAGGAAGUCUGCAAUGGAGAAUCUAGUUGA
This 328-nucleotide long non-coding RNA is filed under the name Chrysolophus pictus (golden pheasant). RNAcentral describes it as "lncRNA (ENSCPIG00010005228.1)". The record is from RNAcentral. Lineage: Eukaryota; Metazoa; Chordata; Aves; Galliformes; Phasianidae.